Molecule: long non-coding RNA, 589 nt
Organism: Camarhynchus parvulus
Lineage: Eukaryota; Metazoa; Chordata; Aves; Passeriformes; Thraupidae
Exons: 3
Source: RefSeq, a predicted model, not a curated record
CGCCGCCCUCCCCUGAGGGGCGACGCUUUGCCCCCCGUUCCCCUCAGGCGUUUGGUGCGUAAAGUUCGUGGGUUUUAAGGCAAUAAAUGCAUGUUUUCCCCUCUCCUGGACCAGCCCAGCAUGAGUGCGGGACCUGCGCGUUUUCCACACGUAAAAACAUGGAAAACCAGACGGUUCGGCACCAAUCCGGGACAUAAAUUACAUGGGACCCGAGCCGGAGGUAACCAGGAGAGAGCCAGACCCCUGAGGCACCACAGGACGUGAAACAUGGGUUCUGCAUCCAGUUUCAGGCAAAUGCAGCAGUGCCUUGGGGUGAGGUGCCUCCAGAAGGCUCCUGAAGAGGCACCUGCUGUAGGAAGGGAGCAGUGGGAACUUAGACACAAGAGCAGUGAGCUUGCUGUGAGCAGUUUCCACACCAGAAAGAGGAAGAACUUGGUCUUGUUCCUGGCUACAGGCGGUUCUGACACAUGAAAGGUUUCACUCAUUCUCACUUGAGACAAGUGAAUGAUGGCUGUCCCAUUAAAUGUGACUAAGGUAAGAUAUCUUGCACUUCACCUAAAGUUGGCACCAGAAGAAGGGUAGGUUUAGA